GACGAACGCUGGCGGCGUGCUUAACACAUGCGAGUCGAACGGAAAGGCCCUGCUUUUGUGGGGUGCUCGAGUGGCGAACGGGUGAGUAACACGUGAGUAACCUGCCCUUGACUUUGGGAUAACUUCAGGAAGCUGGGGCUAUACCGGAUAGGAGCUCCUGCUGCAUGGUGGGGGUUGGAAAGUUUCGGCGGUUGGGGAUGGACUCGCGGCUUAUCAGCUUGUUGGUGGGGUAGUGGCUUACCAAGGCUUUGACGGGUAGCCGGCCUGAGAGGGUGACCGGCCACAUUGGGACUGAGAUACGGCCCAGACUCCUACGGGAGGCAGCAGUGGGGAAUAUUGCACAAUGGGCGGAAGCCUGAUGCAGCAACGCCGCGUGCGGGAUGACGGCCUUCGGGUUGUAAACCGCUUUCGCCUGUGACGAAGCGUGAGUGACGGUAAUGGGUAAAGAAGCACCGGCUAACUACGUG
Molecule: ribosomal RNA, 467 nt
Filed under: uncultured bacterium
Lineage: Bacteria
Description: partial 16S ribosomal RNA
Rfam family: Bacterial small subunit ribosomal RNA
Source: RNAcentral